RNAcentral lists this transfer RNA (62 nucleotides) under Parasitus wangdunqingi. Its description in RNAcentral is "tRNA-Ser". Lineage: Eukaryota; Metazoa; Arthropoda; Arachnida; Mesostigmata; Parasitidae. The record is from RNAcentral.
GUCUACUUAACUAAGCUUAAGUGUUUACUUUGAAAGUAAAAAAUAGAAUUUUCUAGUAGUCU